Long non-coding RNA from Monopterus albus (swamp eel), 3025 nucleotides. RefSeq lists it as uncharacterized. The record is from RefSeq and is a predicted model, not a curated record. The transcript is spliced from 3 exons. NCBI's taxonomy places the organism in Eukaryota, Metazoa, Chordata, Actinopteri, Synbranchiformes, Synbranchidae.
GUCAGUAGUAAUUAUGCAGGCACCUAUGGGAGAGGACUGGGAGGGAGAUGAAAGCUCUGUGAAACCAGAACAUGAACAAAGCCUGAAACAGAAAGAGGGGUCCAGUGCUUGAACGCCACACCAUGACAGACAACCUUUGGGACUGUUCUUAUUCAGCUGCCAGGAGCCUUUUAGGAUUCGUUUUAUCUGCUCUGCCUUCCCAUACGCCUGCCCCUCUGGAUGGUCCUCCACAUGAUUUGUGUCCAGUUUGGCUUCACUUGAGCCAACACAGCAGACACACUCUGACUCCUCUGCAAUCAGCCUGUCUGUCUUGUGUUUGAAAGCUGUUAAACCUCUUUUCUGCAUGAGUGGGUUUGUUUGCAUUUAAUUGAAAUGUCACUUCAGGCUGUAUGUUUCAAACGCUGAAUUUGAAAUCUAGUUUAAUACAUACAAUUAGUUGUUGUUUUUUUUAAUCUGAUUUUUUAUUUUCUUGGCGGGAUUCCUGUUUGAAAAACAUUCUGUGAUUGGUCAAAGACGACUACAGCCAUGCUAGGGCAGUGCUAAUAUGCUCAUAGUGAAAAUGCUAAUAUGGAUGAUGCUAAGUGGUAAUCAGAUACAGUGGACUGAUUGUAGAACAAAUGACCCAGGGCAGUCCAGCUGCACAGGAGUACGGUUUCAACCCUCAAAUGAUGAUGUCACCGCUCCCAUGUGACAGGGCUCAGUUUCACUGUCAGAUCAAUUAUUCACAGCAUUUAAUUGGAUCAGCUGAAUCCAGAUCGCUCCAGGGAUCCAUUUCCAGUAACAGCAGCUACAAAUAAACCCUGAGCCAGCACACAAGACACAAGGCUCCAGAUCAGUAUCCGCACAACAUCCGACAACAGCACACCUCACUGACUUUAUAAAAAUUACCCAUGUGACAUGCAAGUUGGCUUUAUUGAAGGAAAUAAUCCAUAUGUCAAAGUAUACAUUUCAUUCUUUUUAGUUAAAUCUGGGUUGUUCCACUUUGUAACAGGAGGAGGGAGUGAAGGUGAUGAUCUCAGAGCACUGGGUGAAGGCCAGACUCUGAUGCUGCUGCAUUCAUUAAUCACACAGUCGCAUACAGUGGCGUUCCCAGCCUCUUAGUCAUCAGAUAUUCCCCUGGCCUCUGCUCUACUCCCACCUCCAGGCCUUCCAGUCAAAGGUGGCCUUUGUGCUGGGGGGGGGUCAGAGCUGACCACAGCAGACAGUCCUACUCCCCCCAUUAGUACUGGAUUUCAGGAUACAGACUAUAGCACAGAGAGCCUUCCAUUCACAAAGUGGGGGAUCAGAACACAAGGCCUGUAUCUUUGUGGAAAUGAAGAAAGAGCAGCCCAUUGAUCUUCGGUCUUAGGAUGGUAGUCACACAUGCAAAGGUCUCAGGAAAGCUACUUUUCCAACUAAACACAGACAUCUUUGUUUUCACAUGAAACCCUCAGUGUUUAUCUUCUCUUCUUUCAAAUGUUAACUAAGUGUUAACCACUGUAGAAACAAUUUAUUUAGCAUUAGUUUCAUAUAUUUUAUACCCGACUCAUUUUUAUUAAUAAGUAUGCAGGUAUGUCAGUGAAUGGUCGUGCUAAUCACCAAAAGCCCUAAGUUGGUAAGUGAAAGGCCUCUGGUUCUCAUCGUCGUGAAAUUGUCCUGAAGGUAUGAAUACGUCUCUUUCAUUCCCUCCAUGUAUGUAGUCUUCCACCACCUAUAGAGGCAGAACUCACAAAGUGCUAAGUGUCUUUUGAGAGGUUUAUGCUCUUUAGCAAAAUGUAAAAAAAAAGAACCUAGCUGUUAUUCCAUUCAUGUCAUAUCCUUUUAACUAGAGAAAUGACUAGAGAAUGAAGGCUUAUGGUACUCAGUGACCUUAAAAACACUGAAGCAAAGCUAGUUAUAAACCUCUUUAUAAGUUUACUUCAUAAUGACUGCAACUCAAGUGGCCCCUUCGAACUCUAGCAUUAGCAGCAGUACAAGCAUUGCCCCAAAAUCUAAACACAAUUAAAAAUCAAUGGGAUUUCUGCAUGGAUUAGAGUGGGCACAGAGUGCUGAUUAAUGUUUUCCCAGAUUCUAAUUCUAUUAAUCGUGUGUGCUCAGGGCGAAGGCCGCCUCAGCUGAUGUACAACCAGCAGCUCCGCAGGGUGCAUUGACCUUGUGACUCAGGACCUUUUCUGUUUCCCUUCAACCUUAGUCUUCUAUGAGGAUUAGUUUAGCUUUAGUCUUAGCAAGGUUGGAACAAGAAAACAUGGGCACAGCAGGCCUUAAAAAUACUUAAAAUCACAGAAAAUGCCUUUAUAUGUUAGACCUUCUAUUCAUGUCCUUGUACCUGUCUUUCUGUGUGCAAGUGAGGACCUUCCAGCAAUCAAGUGCUCACAAUGGCUUUCACAAUAUUGAUGGUGCUAGGCAUAGUAAGCACGGGACAGUUACAUAUUCAGAGUACUGUAUUUAUAUGAUAAAAGAGACAUUAUCUUAGGCCAGCAGAGACUGCUGACUUGCUCUUCAUAAAUAAAGCAGCAUGUGACAUGCUAUGUGUGUCAGAAGCUGCUGUUCAUUCAUAUUAUGAAAUAUGUGAUUCAGUUUUGCACUUGACUUGCCAGAGUAUGUACAAUAAUGUUUAGUAAGGCAUAUGGGACAUUAUAUAUAGAAUGGUUGGUACUGUGUGGGCGUUCACUGGAACAUUGCUGUUUGAACAUUUCCCUGGUUUUUGAAUACAUGCCCUGAAUUGGGCAUUUUAAAUAUUUGAAUUAACUUACCAUACUGUGUACUGACUUAUCAUUUGCUGAAAUGUUGUGCUUGUCCAUUACCUCUGUUUUUGCAGUUAGCUCUAAAAUGAAUUACAUUCACAUCAGCCUCAGUUGUACUUUAAUGCUAAUUAACAAAUGUUAGCUCUCAGUACAAUAGUAAACAUCUGCAUGUUUGCGUUGGUAUUGUGAGUUUUUGCAUGCUUAUUUUAACAUUUAUCUCACAGCCUCUGAGCACAGCCACACAGAGCUGCAAGCACUGCUAUAAAUGCUUACUCAUGUUUUUCUGAAAAUAAAAACUGGUG